UACGUAGGUGGCAAGCGUUGUCCGGAUUUACUGGGUGUAAAGGGCGUGUAGCCGGGCUUACAAGUCAGAUGUGAAAUCCGGGGGCUCAACCCCCGAACUGCAUUUGAAACUGUAGGUCUUGAGUAUCGGAGAGGCAGGCGGAAUUCCUAGUGUAGCGGUGAAAUGCGUAGAUAUUAGGAGGAACACCAGUGGCGAAGGCGGCUUACUGGACGACUACUGACGCUGAGGCUCGAAAGCGUGGGGAGCAAACAGG
RNAcentral lists this ribosomal RNA (253 nucleotides) under uncultured bacterium. Its description in RNAcentral is "partial 16S ribosomal RNA". It matches the Rfam family "Bacterial small subunit ribosomal RNA", at positions 524 to 776 of the family's 1533-position model. The record is from RNAcentral.